CCUACGGGAGGCAGCAGUGAGGAAUAUUGGUCAAUGGGCGCGAGCCUGAACCAGCCAAGUCGCGUGAGGGAAGACGGCCCUACGGGUUGUAAACCUCUUUUGCCGGGGAGCAACGGGCGCCACGUGUGGCGCCACUGAGAGUACCCGGAGAAAAAGCAUCGGCUAACUCCGUGCCAGCAGCCGCGGUAAUACGGAGGAUGCGAGCGUUAUCCGGAUUUAUUGGGUUUAAAGGGUGCGUAGGCGGAGCGUUAAGUCAGUGGUCAAAUUGAGGGGCUCAACCCCUUCCCGCCAUUGAAACUGGGGGCCUUGAGUGGGCGAGAAGAAGGCGGAAUGCGUGGUGUAGCGGUGAAAUGCAUAGAUAUCACGCAGAACCCCGAUUGCGAAGGCAGCCUUCCGGCGCCCUACUGACGCUGAGGCACGAAAGUGCGGGGAUCGAACAGGAUUAGAUACCCGUGUAGUC
This 460-nucleotide ribosomal RNA is filed under the name uncultured bacterium. RNAcentral describes it as "partial 16S ribosomal RNA". It matches the Rfam family "Bacterial small subunit ribosomal RNA", at positions 338 to 795 of the family's 1533-position model. The record is from RNAcentral.